GUCUGUGGCCAUACCACCCUGAAUGUGCCUGAUCUCACCUGAUCUCAGAAGCUAAGCAGGGUCAGGCCUGGUUAGCACUUGAUGAGCAGAAAUGGUACUCCUUUAUUCUUAGCUAAUAUUCUAGGGUUGUAUAUA
This 135-nucleotide ribosomal RNA is filed under the name Saimiri boliviensis boliviensis (Bolivian squirrel monkey). The record is from RNAcentral. Lineage: Eukaryota; Metazoa; Chordata; Mammalia; Primates; Cebidae.